RNAcentral lists this unclassified non-coding RNA (2052 nucleotides) under Dendronephthya gigantea. Its description in RNAcentral is "uncharacterized LOC114535478, transcript variant X1". The record is from RNAcentral. Lineage: Eukaryota; Metazoa; Cnidaria; Anthozoa; Malacalcyonacea; Nephtheidae.
UGAUCACCGCCAAAAUUAGCUUACACAAUUUGCAACCACUUACAUGCCAUUCGGCAUUGCUCACGUGGUACUCGGAUUGUCUUGAAUGACAUUCGGCACCACUUACGUGAUAUUCGAAUUGGCUUUAAUGGCAUUAGGAUUUGCAUUUAUGACAUUCAGCACUGCUUACGUUACAUUUGAAUUGGCUUUAAUGACAUUAGGAUUUGCCUUAAUGACAUUCGGCACCGCGUAGCUAACAUUGGGAUUGGCCCAGAUUGGCCUUUUAAAUGACAUUCGGCGUGAAAGGCAUGCGCCACAGGAGCACGCAGUCAACAGGGGCAGCGAAUUAUUUCAACAAGAGCGUUACGAACACACGGGAUUAAUUGAACAGCGGGUAAUCACAGAAAACUUCUUAAGGACGUAAUAUUAGCUGCAAUAUUCAGUUAAUAAAGUUUCCAAAAUUGUUUUUAUACUGUUUCACGCUAUUUUUUCUUCAAAUUCUGUUGUGUUAAUUACGAAAUCCUGUCGAAAAACCCUUGGAUGUCUUCUAAAUCAUCUAAGUAAUAAAUGGAUGUUGUACAACCUAGAAGCAUCAUUAUUAAUCAUUUGAUUCACUCAAUACGAAAAAUUGAAGCAGUUUUGGAGAACGAUGCAGAACAACCACCAGACUAUGACUUCCUAGCUUUUAGAGUUGAUCAUCUAAAUCAUGUUUUGGUUUACUGUUCAACGGUUAUUGAUGUACCACCAACGGUCAACGAAUUGCUAAGCAAAUGCCUUAGCAUAAUAGAGUCAUUUGAUACUGGGAUAAAUGACAAUUACUUUGCUCCAACAGUGAAAACUGGACUGCCUGGACGACCAGCAUACAAAAUUACAAAAGAGCAGCUGUUGUUCUUGGUUUCUUCUGGGUUUAACGUUCCACAAAUUUCCGCAAUGUUAAAUGUCGGAAAAAGAACUAUUGAGAGGAGACUUCAUGAGUUUGGUAUCUCUAUAAAUACCACUUUCUCAUCGAUUAAUAACGACGACUUAGAUGCUGUUGUCCGAGAUAUUGUCAAAGAAUUUCCAAAUGUGGGUUACAGAAGGCUGACAGGAUUUUUGCGAGUAAAAGGCAUCAGUGUUCAGCAGCAGCGUGUCAGAGAAGCUUUAAGAAGAGUGGAUCCAGACGGUGUUCUCUUGAGAGCAGUUGAAUUGAAUGUCAUCAGAAGGCAGCCGUAUCAUGUAUCAUCUCCUUUAUCACUUUGGCACAUUGAUGGAUAUCACAAACUCAUCAGGUAAAAAUGGCCUUUUACACAGCAGGGAAUUGCAAUACCUGCAGUAUGUGAAGGGAAAAGGUUGGUGUAAGUGUAUUUCUCUGGUAUUACUCGUUGUAUUUAUCCAACUUUGCAUGGAUAUGUUUGUUUCUUUUGAGAUGGAGAAUGGUGAUUCACGGGGGGAUCGACGGUUAUAGCAGAAAAAUUGUUUUCUUAGAAUGCAAUACAAACAACUACGCGACUACAGUCCUGAAUGCCUUUCUUUCUGCCGUUGAUCAGCAUGGACUUCCGUCUCGUGUCCGUUCGGAUAAAGGCGGAGAAAAUGUGGAUGUUGCCCAUUACAUGUUGCAUCACCCUGAACGAGGAUCCGGGCGGGGAAGCAUGAUUACAGGCAAGAGUGUGCACAACCAAAGAAUAGAGCGUUUGUGGAGAGAUCUAUUUUGCGGUUGUGUCCAUAUGUAUUAUCAUCUAUUCUACAGCCUUGAAAGUAGUGGGUUGUUAAAUCCUGACAGCGAGUUAGACCUUUUUUGCUUACACUAUGUUUAUUUACCAAGAAUAUCACAUUCCCUUCGCAACUUUGUGAAUGGAUGGAAUGCCCAUCCAAUGAGUACAGAAAAUAACCUUAGUCCAAACCAACUCUGGAUCAGAGGCCUACUAGAAAUUGCAAACAGUGACAAUCGAAUUGCCCAAGAUAUUUGGCGGUCAGGGGAAGUAGAUGAUUUAUAUGGAGUUGACUGGGAUGGUCCUAUCUCAACAGAGCCUGAUACCUGCGCCGUUGAGGUCCCCCGAACAGAAAAUCCACUUCAAGCACAUGAAUUUACAAACA